UUAACUGUUUCUAUAAAAAAUAUUUUACAAUUUUCAUCUUAUACAUAUUUUUAAAUUUUUAAUUAAUUAUUUGAGCAAUUAUUUUAAAUGAUCGAUUAUCGAUCGUAUUGAUAUCGUAAAAGAUUCAUGUUGUAAAUGGUUUCCUGUCAAAUUUACAUUUAUGUAAAAAUUAUACUAUGAAUAUAUUAUUCUAUCUUUGGAACUUAUUAUUUUUAUUUAUAAAUGAAAUACAUAAAUUUUAACAAGUAUUUCAGUCAAUUAAUAAAUAAAUUACGUAUGUUAAUUCUUGAACAUUAGUUAUCAUAAAUUUUAACCUCUACAAAACGACAUUUCUCAAAAGCGUCGAUGAAUGUAAUGUCAUGAAUUGUUAUACGAAUAUGCAACGUAAUAAUGGUGUUUUGAAAAUUAAUGUGCCGAAUGCAAGGUUAGAUUGGAAUAUGACGUUUGUUCUGAAACUAUUAUAAUUUUUAUCUUCUUUAUUUUUGAUAAAUCCAUUGAGAAAUCCAAGAGGAAUAUCAAUAUCAAAAGUUAUAACAGAAUUUUGUAUGAUUAAAACAAUUAUGAAAACAAUGGCAUCCGAGAAUUUUUUUGGAAGUGGUGGCACAUUUCAUCGUGCUUUGAUGUUUAUGCUCAAACUUGGUUGGCAAUCACGGUUUCGUCUCCCAAUUCUACUAGUUAUUGUACUUGUCGCUAUGGAUUACAGACUUCAAUUAGAAAUUGAAUUUGAAGUUAAUCCUGAGCAACAUAAUCAUUUGUGAUUUAAGGAAAAUUAUUUAUAAGUUAAUUCUAGAUUAUAUCAUUGAAGAAAAUUUUAAAUCAUCAUAGAAAGUGCAAAAAGCUAUUUUUCACUCUAUAAUAAGAAUUUCAAGGAUCAAAGGGUAUUGUUGAUACUUUUAUUCAUAUACUUUUGUUAUAGUUUCUAAUUGUUGCAGAUUGAUGCUGUGUUAGAAUUAUAUAGGCUAAGAAAAUUAUUAACUAGUAUUAAUUAAUAUUUUUAAUUAUUCGUAUAUACAUCAUACUUAGAAAGAAGAGAUAAUAUAUAAGUUUUUGACAAUGAUUCAGUCAAAUAUAAAAUAUCAAUUUGAAUCAAUCAUUGUAUAAUAUUAUAUAAUUUUUACUUUUUGCUUUAUUCAUUAUAAGUUUUAAAUAUACAGUAGUCCCUCGGUUGUUUGAUUUAAUAAAAACAAAAAAAUUUGUAAUAAUUAAGGGGAUCAAAAAAUCAGGGAAUUUUAUUUCUUAGACCAAUAGAUACAUAUAAACAUAUCAUGGUAUAGUUUUUAAGAUAUGAUAUAUGCAUUAUUUAAUAUAUAUUUAGAAAAUAAAUGUUAAAUAUUUAUUGAGUUGAAUUUUUAAUAGAAAUGUGAAUAAUUCAACAAUAUAUAAUUCAAUUAUAUUUCAACAAUUUUUAUUUUUAUUUUAAGAAUAGAUUUGAUUAUAUGAUUUCUUUUUAUUUUAUAGUCAGAAUAAUUCAUAAAUUGAAUAAUCGAAGGACUACUAUAAUUGUUUUAUAUUUAUUCAUUUAUAAUAUAAUAUAAUGUGUAACUUUUAAUAUUAUAUUAAGUUACAUAUCUCUGAGACUGAUAUUUAAACAAAUAUCUUUAUUGAAAUAUGAAAAAGAUGUAAUAAAUGUGAUCAAAUAAUAUAAAAUGGUACAGUUAAUAAAUAAUCAAAUUCCUUUGCACUGUACCUAUUAUCAUAUAUUUAGUCAUCAAAAAUAUCCAUACAAAUUAUGCAAAUAUAUCUAUUUUUGCUAUUAAAACAUUAGAAAAUCUAUUUAAAAAUAUGUUAAUAGUUUAUUCAAAAGAUUUAAUGAUUAUAAAAGGCUGAUGAAAUAUUAACAUAAUUUUAAUUCUUUCAAUGUAUGUAAUUUUUUUUUUUUAUUAAAUAUUUCAUAUUCAAGUAGAUUUUUGAAACUUGAUAAUAUUAAGUAAAUAUACAUUCUAUAUAAUUUCAUUUUUCACAAAUGCUAAUUUAAAUAAAAAAUAGUAUGUAAUUAAAUUUUUUAAGUAAAAUAAAUAUAAUUUAGAUUAAUAAUUAUAGAAAUAUAUUUUUUACAAAUAUUUUAUAAAAACAGAGAAAGAUUAUUUCAUUUAUUUCGUGUUAUUAUUUAAAUAUGUUAUUUCAUACAAUACUUCAAUUUUUGUCAAAUAUUAUUAUAUUCACGAAUUUCAAUUUAAUGUUAACUGUAAUAUAUGAGAAUUAGAUUAUUACAUAUGCUAUGUAUGUAGAUUUAAAAUAAAUAUUAUAUGAUUAGAUAAUAUCAAUUAUUAUAAAUAAAUAAUAACAAUUCUCGAUUCUAAUAUUUAACAUUUUAAAUAAAUGUUGAAACUCGUUAAUGUUACAAUUCACAUUAUAAACGAUUUGUAAGCAUUCAUCGUAAUUGUAAAUGUAAACAGUUGUGUAUUCAAUAUUACUAAAAUAAAAAACUAAAAGAUUAUUUUUAUAAA
Long non-coding RNA from Apis cerana (Asiatic honeybee), 2447 nucleotides. RefSeq lists it as uncharacterized. The record is from RefSeq and is a predicted model, not a curated record. NCBI's taxonomy places the organism in Eukaryota, Metazoa, Arthropoda, Insecta, Hymenoptera, Apidae.